UACGGAGGGUGCAAGCGUUAUCCGGAUUCACUGGGUUUAAAGGGUGCGUAGGCGGGCAGGUAAGUCCGUGGUGAAAUCUCUGAGCUUAACUCAGAAACUGCCGUGGAUACUAUUUGCCUUGAAUAUUGUGGAGGUGAGCGGAAUAUGUCAUGUAGCGGUGAAAUGCUUAGAUAUGACAUAGAACACCAAUUGCGAAGGCAGCUCACUACACGAUCAUUGACGCUGAGGCACGAAAGCGUGGGGAUCAAACAGG
RNAcentral lists this ribosomal RNA (253 nucleotides) under uncultured bacterium. Its description in RNAcentral is "partial 16S ribosomal RNA". It matches the Rfam family "Bacterial small subunit ribosomal RNA", at positions 524 to 776 of the family's 1533-position model. The record is from RNAcentral.